RNAcentral lists this ribosomal RNA (253 nucleotides) under uncultured bacterium. Its description in RNAcentral is "partial 16S ribosomal RNA". It matches the Rfam family "Bacterial small subunit ribosomal RNA", at positions 524 to 776 of the family's 1533-position model. The record is from RNAcentral.
UACAGAGGGGGCAAGCGUUGUUCGGAAUCACUGGGCUUAAAGGGCGCGUAGGCGGACUGCCAAGUCCGGGGUGAAAUCUUUCGGCUCAACCGGAAAAUAGCCUCGGAGACUGGCGGUCUGGAGUGAGGUAGGGGCAGCUGGAACUUCCGGUGGAGCGGUGAAAUGCAUUGAGAUCGGAAAGAACACCAACGGCGAAAGCACUCUGCUGGGCCGACACUGACACUGAGAGACGAAAGCUAGGGGAGCAAAUGGG